GGAAGGGAUGUAUUUAUUAGAUAAAAAACCAAUGCCCUUCGGGGCUCCUUGGUGAUUCAUAAUAACUUAACGAAUCGCAUGGCCUUGCGCCGGCGAUGGUUCAUUCAAAUUUCUGCCCUAUCAACUUUCGAUGGUAGGAUAGUGGCCUACCAUGGUGGCAACGGGUAACGGGGAAUUAGGGUUCGAUUCCGGAGAGGGAGCCUGAGAAACGGCUACCACAUCCAAGGAAGGCAGCAGGCGCGCAAAUUACCCAAUCCCGAUCCGGGGAGGUAGUGACAAUAAAUACUGAUAUAGGGCUCUUUUGGGUCUUAUAAUUGGAAUGAGUACAAUCUAAAUCCCUUAACGAGGAACAAUUGGAGGGCAAGUCUGGUGCCAGCAGCCGCGGUAAUUCCAGCUCCAAUAGCGUAUAUUAAAGUUGUUGCAGUUAAAAAGCUCGUAGUUGAACCUUGGGCCCGUCCUGCCGGUCCGCCUCACCGCGAGUACUGGUCCGGAUGGGCCUUUCUUUCUGGGGAAUCCCAUGGCCUUCACUGGCUGUGGCGGGGAACCAGGACUUUUAC
RNAcentral lists this ribosomal RNA (557 nucleotides) under uncultured Eurotiomycetes. Its description in RNAcentral is "SSU rRNA". It matches the Rfam family "Eukaryotic small subunit ribosomal RNA", at positions 194 to 755 of the family's 1831-position model. Lineage: Eukaryota; Fungi; Ascomycota; Eurotiomycetes. The record is from RNAcentral.